GUGGGGAAUCUUCCGCAAUGGACGAAAGUCUGACGGAGCGACGCCGCGUGAGUGAAGAAGGCCUUCGGGUCGUAAAGCUCUGUCAUCAGGGACGAACGGCCGGUGGAGUGGAAAGCCACCGGAUUGACGGUACCUGAGAAGGAAGCCACGGCUAACUACGUGCCAGCAGCCGCGGUAAUACGUAGGUGGCAAGCGUUGUCCGGAAUUAUUGGGCGUAAAGCGCGCGCAGGUGGGAUCUUAAGUCCAUUUUGAAAGUUCGGAGCUCAACUCCGGGGUGGGAUGGAAACUGGGAUUCUUGAGUACCGGGGAGGAAAGCGGAAUUCCCCGUGUAGCGGUGAAAUGCGUAGAUAUGGGGAGGAACACCAGUGGCGAAGGCGGCCACCUGGACAGGUACUGACGCUGAGGCGCGAAAGCGUGGGGAGCAAACAGGAUUAGAUACCCCUGUAGUCC
Molecule: ribosomal RNA, 450 nt
Filed under: uncultured bacterium
Lineage: Bacteria
Description: partial 16S ribosomal RNA
Rfam family: Bacterial small subunit ribosomal RNA
Source: RNAcentral